This 449-nucleotide ribosomal RNA is filed under the name uncultured bacterium. Its description in RNAcentral is "partial 16S ribosomal RNA". It matches the Rfam family "Bacterial small subunit ribosomal RNA", at positions 328 to 793 of the family's 1533-position model. The record is from RNAcentral.
CUCCCAGACUCCUACGGGAGGCAGCAGUGGGGGAUAUUGCACAAUGGGGGGAACCCUGAUGCAGCGACGCCGCGUGGGUGAAGGAGCGUUUCGGCGCGUAAAGCCCUAUCGGCAGGGAAGAAGGAGGACGGUACCUGACUAAGAAGCCCCGGCUAACUACGUGCCAGCAGCCGCGGUAAUACGUAGGGGGCAAGCGUUAUCCGGAUUUACUGGGUGUAAAGGGGGCGCAGACGGCGAUGCAAGCCAGGAGUGAAAGCCCGGGGCCCAACCCCGGGACUGCUCUUGGAACUGCGUGGCUAGAGUGCAGGAGGGGCAGGCGGAAUUCCUGGUGUAGCGGUGAAAUGCGUAGAUAUUAGGAGGAACACCAGUGGCGAAGGCGGCUUACUGGACGGCAACUGACGCUGAGGCUCGAAAGCGUGGGGAGCAAACAGGAUUAGAUACCCCCGUAC